AAAGUAUAGAAAUUUGUGAGCGUGUUCGACGCCCGCAGGGAAUUUCAUAUUCUUCCAUUUUUGACGAUCUAAUUCCAGGAGCUUAAUUACCUUAUAGGAUAGUCCCUCGCGGUCAGCAGACUUAACUUCAUAACCGGACAUCGCCACACAAUGCUCCUGCGAGAUUGUAAUAUGUGUGCAGGGUCGACAUGGGUGUGUAUUUCGUGUAUACACGUAUUAUAUACUCGUAUAUACUAUGCCUACUAUACACGAACCUGAUGCGCAGCCCAUAUACAAACAGAUCCUCAUUUAUUUACCAAUCGACCAUAGAGAUCGAGCCGAAGAGGAG
RNAcentral lists this unclassified non-coding RNA (328 nucleotides) under Athalia rosae (coleseed sawfly). RNAcentral's name for it is "misc RNA ENSAEAG00005006297.1". The record is from RNAcentral. Lineage: Eukaryota; Metazoa; Arthropoda; Insecta; Hymenoptera; Athaliidae.